Eleginops maclovinus (Patagonian blennie) is the source of this 464-nucleotide long non-coding RNA. RefSeq lists it as uncharacterized. The transcript has 3 exons. The record is from RefSeq and is a predicted model, not a curated record. Lineage: Eukaryota; Metazoa; Chordata; Actinopteri; Perciformes; Eleginopidae.
GACAGUUGCCGCCGCCGCUAUGUCAUAUUGAACCGCAGCUUCUGCAAACAAUUCUGGACUUUUCUCAGCUAGUCCAUCUUCGGCGUUACUGUAAGUGAAGCCGGUUCAUAGUCAAAUCUGUGCUUGGGGUGAUACUAACUCUAUAGACCAGUACAAACACUUGCUAGCUGUAGUAUGGAUUUACCUCAUCAGCUUCUGAUAUACUGGACUGAUGUAAGGUUGCUGCUACACUUGUUAACAUCGAGCACGGUGAGGAGACACAACAUGGAUCCCAGAGAGGCAACUGAAUGAAUGCUCACACCAUGUGUGCAUACCGACAAACUGAGGACCCACUAACAAAGCAUCACACCGUUGCGCUGCUAGUGGUGAAAAUUCUACAGGCUGUCUUUGAAACACAUAUUAGUCCAUACCACUUUUUUAAAAAUCCCAUUUAUGACCAAAUAAUCUAUUGUCAUAUUAACAAU